UGGGGUGUAGCUCAGUGGUAGAGUGCUUGCCUAGCAGUUAGAAGGCCCUGGGUUCCAUCCCCAGCACUACAA
This 72-nucleotide transfer RNA is filed under the name Heterocephalus glaber (naked mole-rat). It matches the Rfam family "tRNA". Rfam says of the family: Transfer RNA (tRNA) molecules are approximately 80 nucleotides in length. Their secondary structure includes four short double-helical elements and three loops (D, anti-codon, and T loops). Lineage: Eukaryota; Metazoa; Chordata; Mammalia; Rodentia; Bathyergidae. The record is from Rfam by way of RNAcentral.